RNAcentral lists this ribosomal RNA (484 nucleotides) under uncultured bacterium. RNAcentral's name for it is "partial 16S ribosomal RNA". It matches the Rfam family "Bacterial small subunit ribosomal RNA", at positions 28 to 507 of the family's 1533-position model. The record is from RNAcentral.
AUUGAACGCUGGCGGCAUGCUUUACACAUGCAAGUCGAACGGCAGCGCGGGCUUCGGCCUGGCGGCGAGUGGCGAACGGGUGAGUAAUGCAUCGGAACGUGCCCAGUAGUGGGGGAUAGCCCGGCGAAAGCCGGAUUAAUACCGCAUACGACCUGAGGGUGAAAGCGGGGGACCGAAAGGCCUCGCGCUAUUGGAGCGGCCGAUGUCGGAUUAGCUAGUUGGUGGGGUAAAGGCCUACCAGGGCGACGAUCCGUAGCUGGUCUGAGAGGACGACCAGCCACACGGGAACGGAGCCCGGCACAGGGCUCCUGCGGGAGGCACCAGUGGGGAAUGUGGGACAGUGGGGGCAACCCUGACCCCGCCGUGCGGGGUGGGGGAAAAAGGCCUGGGGGUUGUAAGCCUGUUUUGUGGGGGAAAAAACCCUGGGGGCUAAUCCCCGGGGGGGAUGACGGUACCGGAAAAAAAAGCCCCGGCUAACUACGUG